GCGGCGGGAACAGCGUGUUCCCCACCAGCGCCUGCGGGACGAGCAGCAGCUGCAGCGGCACGUCCCGGCUGAAUACCAUCAUGUUCUCGUUCGUCGGCAUGAACCCGCAGCUGGAGAACGUGGACACCGUCGUGAACACAGCGAAGGUCCACACGUUCAGGGCCUUGCGCCGCAGGGUCUGCCGCGCGCCGGGCGCCGCGUGCAUGUACACCGCCACGGCGACGGCGCCCACGACGUGCACCACGAGGAGGAUGGCCAGGACGAUGUAGAACAUGGAGCGCACCGCGUUGAGCCGCAGCAUCUUCGAGUCCACCACCGGGCCGGUGUGAUCUUCGGUGACGGUGGUGAUCGUCAUCGACGACCUCUCGUCAUCGGCGUCGGCAGCGGCCUCGGCCUCGGCGGCGAUGGCUGCCGGCGUCUCGAGCUCGACGCCGUCGUCGUGGCUCUCGACGCGCUGGGACCUGUUUAUGAUCCGCUUCCUCAGCUUGGACCAUUUGGACGAGAGCCCCACGAGCGAUAUGAACACCUCGCCGCCGGCGAACAUGAGCGCGGUGAUGAUCAGGAGCUGGCCGUUGGAGAACACCUCCAUCUCGACGGCGGACAUGCUCGACACCGUCGCGGCCGACACGGCGGUGAAGAACAUGUCGAUGCCGCGGGGGCUCCCGUGGGGCGCCCGCACCUUGAGCGCCGAGAGGAGGCCCCAUCCGGCGCAGGAGAGGGCGACGAAGUAGACGACAUGGAUGAGGAGCGAGUUGAGGCGCGCCGCGACGUCGACGGCGGCGCGCCACACCUGGCCGCCGAGCGUGCGCCGCGACCGCGCCACGCGCUCCGUCACCUGGUGCUCCGCGUAGGCCUGGGAGAGCGAGCACACCAGGGACAUUGCUCGGUCGAGCGCGGCCGCCGAGCACUGGCGCAGGUGGUGCAAGAGCUCGCCAAGCUUGUGUGCUCCGGCCAUUGUGGGACGUGCGAGCUAUAUGUCUGCAUGCGAGUUCUGUGUACCUGAGAGCUUGUAGGCACCUGUAUAUAUAUAACUAGGGAGAUGGUGAGUGUUCCUGCAUCCUGCUAUGUUAGUCCAACACGUGGAAAGUAAACCCUUGGGCCUCAAUUGUUUCAGUUUCUUUAUGCCAAGAAGACCAAGCUACAUGUAGACACUAGCAGUAGUGACGUUUGUUCAAUUUGCCUGUCUGGUGAAAAUAAAUUCAGAAUUAGAACUGCAGAAUAUAUAGGACUCAAAGUGUAAAAUACAAUCCCACUUGUUUCAUGUACUAGUUUCCUCUCAGGAAACAACGCAGUACGACGUACCUCCGGUACGUACUCUCUGCAAAUAUUUGGUAUAUUUGUUGCGUUGAAAGAAGUGUCACGAGAAGUGAAAAUUCAACGUAUACCGAGAAUUUAGCUUCAAAUAAAAUUUCUUCUUGAAUUCACCCGUGUGAUGUCAACGGAAUUGAACCCAUGCUUUGUUCAGAAUGUCUAUGAGAUUUUUUUUAUGAUCUCUUGGUUUCCUCAAAGAGUUCGGGAUAUAAACUGCGCUUUGAUGAACCACGAUAAUAAGGGAGUAUCCAGUAGAAGCUGUACAUAUAUGCAUAGCUAAAGCUCGCUUGAAGUUGUACAGUAGAAGUAUGUACUUCUUGUAAUGCUGGUUGUCGAGGAACUUAUAUGUGUUUUUCAAGAUCCGAUUUGGUCUAUCUCUUAGAGUUGACUCGUUUACAACAUCGGAGUCUGUGAAAUCUUUUUCUCCGACAAAUUUGCAUGAUACAAAAUUGAAUAGGAGUUAGACAUCGUACAAUGAUUAAAGCGGAAAUUUUGAAGUUAAAGCAAAUUAAAAACUCGCAGAACCUAGGAACCCAUAAACCGAGGAACCCAUGAACCGAUACUAAUUGAAGUUAGGAACCCAGGAACCCGGCGUAUAAACGUGCUUCUCGAUCGGGAUUAGAUCUUAUUCGCGGCAAGAGGAAGAGGAGCCCCCAUGUGGCUCUGGAUUAUCCAUAGAUCCGCGCACCGUACCGUUCCUUCUUUCGAUUAUUCUAUACAUCUCUCUGGAGAUAUGCACGUGUGUGCAGACUUUUUGCUCGAGAAAUAAUUGAAGAAUAUAUGUACAAGAGUGAUUUGUGCACACGGCCAUGUUGUCCUGCCAAUACUACUGUUCAACGAUACCGCUAUUCCCAGCCAUUAAUUUUAGCCACGAAUUAGAUCGAUGUCAUGUAAGAAAGCAUUUUUUCCCAACCGAGAAACACUAGUUCGCCUUUCAGGUCUAGUUAUACUCUCUCCACAAAUAUAGAUCGUUUUGGAUGUUUGGAUACCUCGUGCUAAAGUUUAGCACCUGUCACAUCGAAUGUUUGGAUGCUAAUUAGGAGUAUUAAACAUAGGCUAAUUACAAAACUAAUUGCACAGAUGGAAUCUAAUUCGCGAGACAAAUCUAUUAAGCCUAAUUAGUCCAUGAUUUGACAAUGUCGUGCUACAGUAACCAAUUGCUAAUGAUGAAUUAAUUAGAUUUAAUAGAUUCAUCUCGUGAAUUAGCACAGGGGUUCUGCAAUUAGUUUUAUAAUUAGCUCAUGUUUAGUCUUCCUAAUUAGUAUCCGAACAUCCGAUGUGACACUGCUAAAGUUUAACCCCUAGUAUCCACCCGCACGCCCAUAUUUUCCUGUUCGAUAUCACUGUACCCAGCCAUUUCAGCCACACGAGAAGGCUUUUUUUUUUCCCAACCGAGACACACUGGUCUUUCAAGUAUAUGUAAACUCUCCCCACAAAUAUAGAUCAUUUAAGUUUCAGCCAAACUUCUCUAACUCUAAGUUUAUAGAAGAAUAUAUUAACAUUAUAAUACCAAAUAAAUACACUGUCAAGUAUCAAGACAUAUUUCAUGGUAAAUAAUAAAACCUAUUUCAUAUUAUGGGAUUCUUCCAAUUUUUUAUAACUAGGUAGUAAAGUCCCAUUAAAGAAGAAAACGGUGAGGUUUACUACUUCAUUUGCUUAUGUUUAGAUAUCAUAUUAUAUUUUCUAAAUCGAUCAUGCUAUUUUAUUAACAAAAUACAAAGUAAAAACGAAUUACCAAGUGAUUUUAAUACAAAUCUAAUAAGAGUAUUUAUCUUAUGCCACACGUAUAUAUGUCUGGAGAUAAAUACGUUUGUGUCAUGACUUUUGCUCGAGAAAUUAAAGAAUAUAUGUACAAUGAUUUGUGUGCACGGCCAUGUUGUCCUGUCAUGUGCAAUGACUUUUGCUCGAGAAAUUAAAGAAUAUAUGUACAACGAUUUGUGUGCACGGCCAUGUUGUCCUGUCAAUACCGUUCAAUAUCACUGUUCCCAGCCAUUUCCGCCACACGAAUUAGAUUGGUGUCACCUAGUAGUAUUAGUCUUAUGUCACCUAGCUACCAUAUUAUUGGACAUUAACCAUUGAUCAAAGCGUGAACUUGAACGGUUAAAAUACGUCAUAUAAAGAUCAACGUAGGGAGUAGCAAGAAGGUCGAGAGGUGGGGCAGAGCUUCUUGAUGGCCAAAUCAAGGAGGGGGCAUGGCCCCUCUGCUUUUACAAAAUGCUAAAGCAAAAGCUAAAGUGAUCUACAUUUGAGAAUACAUGCAUUAUGUACGUAAUUAACUAGUAAUCAUUGUGUUGAAUAUAUUGUUAACGGCAAGCAUGUGAGCUCAUCUUUUUGAAAUAUUAAAAUGAGUGAAAUUUUCAUAAAAUUUAAAAGUUUUUGUUUGAAUUGUGUGCUCAUUUGAAAAUGGAAGACAAAUUAUACUCUCGUCUAAAAUUCCCUAAUAAAUUAGAUAUCAAAUUAAUUUUUAAAACAUGUGUGCUAGUUGAUUUGGCUCUUUUUGGAUUUUAUUUGACUCUCAAAUAUGUGUGUUUUUGAAUUUUUAAUCUAAUUCAAAAUUCAAACUAAAAACGAAUCCAAACCUAAAGCUAACCUGACAUCUAACCCCAGUCUGGCCCGAUGCCAAACCGGUCUGGCCCGCCAACCACCCGCCAAGCCUCACCACCUGGGCCAGCAGGCCGGCUCGCUACGGCGGCCCAACCCGCCCGCUAGGCCGCCAACACCACCGCACCCUCUUUCUUUCCCUUGCUGACGCGCUGGGCCCGCUCGUCAGCCAACAAUGCUCCCCUUUCUUCCUCCUCAUGCCGUACGCCUCACGCGCGGCGCGUGCGGGGGCGACGAGGCGAGCUUGCCGUGCUAGCCCACAAUACACGGCCGUGCGCCCCCCCCCCCCCACACCUUACGGAGUCUUCCGUCAUGGGAAAACCCCGCUUUUUCCCUCGCCUCGCGCCUCCAAACCCUAACGCUGAGCCGCUAGAUGGCCACCACGCCAUGCCCUAGCGCACCCGUCGAGGAUCAACGGCGCGUAGCUCUUGGCACGCUACCCCGCUGCCCUAGCCCGGCCGCGGGCUAUAAAUAGCCCCAGCCAGCAACCUCGCCACCGAUCCAUCCGAGGUCCUCCCCUAGCCGCCGCCACCAACCGGGAAGAAGAGAGGGGAAGAGGAGGAGAGGAGGUGAGAAUAAGAGAAGAGGAGGAAAAGGAGGCCGUGCCCGAGGAGAAGCCAGCCGCCGCGCUCGGAGGAGGAGUUGCUGCCACCAGAGCUGCUCAUCGCCAACGCGCCCAAGGAGGAGCUGGAAGCCAUUGCCACUACACUGCGAGCCUUCACCAACCCGCAGCUGGAGAACGUGGACACCGUCGUGAACACAGCGAAGGUCCACACGUUCAGGGCCUUGCGCCGCAGGGUCUGCCGCGCGCCGGGCGCCGCGUGCAUGUACACCGCCACGGCGACGGCGCCCACGACGUGCACCACGAGGAGGAUGGCCAGGACGAUGUAGAACAUGGAGCGCACCGCGU
Molecule: long non-coding RNA, 4822 nt
Filed under: Setaria italica (foxtail millet)
Lineage: Eukaryota; Viridiplantae; Streptophyta; Magnoliopsida; Poales; Poaceae
Description: long non-coding RNA (SITA_LNC005414)
Source: RNAcentral